UGCAGUCGAACGGAAACGAUACUAGCUUGCUAGUAGGCGUCGAGUGGCGGACGGGUGAGUAACGCGUAGGAAUCUGCCUGAUAGUGGGGGAUAGCCCGAAGAAAUUCGGAUUAAUACCGCAUAAUCUAUUCGUAGUAAAGUGGGGGACUUUCGAGCCUCACGCUAUCAGAUGAGCCUGCGUAAGAUUAGCUAGUUGGUAGGGUAAAAGCCUACCAAGGCUACGAUCUUUAGCUGGUCUGAGAGGAUGAUCAGCCACAUCGGGACUGAGACACGGCCCGAACUCCUACGGGAGGCAGCAGUGGGGAAUAUUGGACAAUGGGGGCAACCCUGAUCCAGCAAUACCGCGUGUGUGAAGAAGGCCUGAGGGUUGUAAAGCACUUUCAAUUGUGAAGAAAAGUUAACGGUUAAUAACCGUUAGCCUUGACGUUAACUUUAGAAGAAGCACCGGCUAACUCCGUGCCAGCAGCCGCGGUAAUACGGAGGGUGCAAGCGUUAAUCGGAAUUACUGGGCGUAAAGCGUGCGUAGGCGGUUUAUUAAGUCAGAUGUGAAAGCCCCGGGCUUAACCUGGGAACUGCAUUUGAAACUGGUCAACUAGAGUAUGGUAGAGGAAAGUGGAAUUUCUGGUGUAGCGGUGAAAUGCGUAGAUAUCAGAAGGAACAUCAAUGGCGAAGGCAGCUUUCUGGACCAAUACUGACGCUGAGGUACGAAAGCGUGGGUAGCAAACAGGAUUAGAUACCCUGGUAGUCCACGCCGUAAACGAUGAUAACUAGCCGUUGGGGGGAUUUACCCUUUAGUGGCGAAGCUAACGCGUUAAGUUAUCCGCCUGGGGAGUACGGCCGCAAGGUUAAAACUCAAAGGAAUUGACGGGACCCGCACAAGCGGUGGAGCAUGUGGUUUAAUUCGAUGCAACGCGAGAACCUUACCUGGUCUUGACAUCCUGCGAACUUUCUAGAAAUAGAUGGUGCCUUCGG
Molecule: ribosomal RNA, 972 nt
Filed under: uncultured bacterium
Lineage: Bacteria
Description: bacterial SSU rRNA
Rfam family: Bacterial small subunit ribosomal RNA
Source: RNAcentral